Molecule: ribosomal RNA, 253 nt
Filed under: uncultured bacterium
Lineage: Bacteria
Description: partial 16S ribosomal RNA
Rfam family: Bacterial small subunit ribosomal RNA
Source: RNAcentral
UACGUAGGGGGCAAGCGUUGUCCGGAUUUAUUGGGCGUAAAGAGCGUGUAGGCGGCCAUACAGGUCCGUUGUGAAAACUCGAGGCUCAACCUCGAGACGUCGAUGGAAACCGUAUGGCUAGAGUCCGGAAGAGGAGAGUGGAAUUCCUGGUGUAGCGGUGAAAUGCGCAGAUAUCAGGAAGAACACCAAUGGCGAAGGCAGCUCUCUGGGACGGUACUGACGCUGAGACGCGAAAGCGUGGGGAGCGAACAGG